Tachyglossus aculeatus (Australian echidna) is the source of this 138-nucleotide small nucleolar RNA. The record is from RefSeq and is a predicted model, not a curated record. NCBI's taxonomy places the organism in Eukaryota, Metazoa, Chordata, Mammalia, Monotremata, Tachyglossidae.
UUCCUCUUGGGGUCACACCUGGGGAGUUUCCAGUACUCUACCAGUCUCGACUACAGGAGGGAGAGUCAAGCAGAGGCAUACCCAUUCCAUUCCUAGUUUGGUCAGUGGCUAGCAAGUGAAAGGCCACCUGCUACAAGG